AACGCUGGCGGCAUGCUUUACACAUGCAAGUCGAACGGCAGCACGGAAGAGCUUGCUCUUUUGGUGGCGAGUGGCGAACGGGUGAGUAAUGCAUCGGAACGUACCGAGUAGUGGGGGAUAACUGUCCGAAAGGAUGGCUAAUACCGCAUACGCUUUGAGAAGGAAAGCGGGGGCUCUUAGGACCUCGCGCUAUUCGAGCGGCCGAUGUCUGAUUAGCUAGUUGGUGGGGUAAGAGCCUACCAAGGCGACGAUCAGUAGCGGGUCUGAGAGGAUGAUCCGCCACACUGGGACUGAGACACGGCCCAGACUCCUACGGGAGGCAGCAGUGGGGAAUUUUGGACAAUGGGGGCAACCCUGAUCCAGCCAUGCCGCGUGUCUGAAGAAGGCCUUCGGGUUGUAAAGGACUUUUGUCAGGGAAGAAAGGGUUUGUGCUAAUACCACGAACAUAUGACGGUACCUGAAGAAUAAGCACCGGCUAACUACGUGCCAGCAGCCGCGGUAAUACGUAGGGUGCGAGCGUUAAUCGGAAUUACUGGGCGUAAAGCGGGCGCAGACGGUUACUUAAGUCAGAUGUGAAAUCCCCGGGCUCAACCUGGGAACUGCGUUUGAAACUGGGUAGCUAGAGUAUGUCAGAGGGGGGUAGAAUUCCACGUGUAGCAGUGAAAUGCGUAGAGAUGUGGAGGAAUACCGAUGGCGAAGGCAGCCCCCUGGGAUAAUACUGACGUUCAUGCCCGAAAGCGUGGGUAGCAAACAGGAUUAGAUACCCUGGUAGUCCACGCCCUAAACGAUGUCAAUUAGCUGUUGGGGCACUUGAUGCCUUAGUAGCGUAGCUAACGCGUGAAAUUGACCGCCUGGGGAGUACGGUCGCAAGAUUAAAACUCAAAGGAAUUGACGGGGACCCGCACAAGCGGUGGAUGAUGUGGAUUAAUUCGAUGCAACGCGAAGAACCUUACCUGGUCUUGACAUGUACGGAAUCCUCCAGAGACGGAGGAGUGCCUUCGGGAGCCGUAACACAGGUGCUGCAUGGCUGUCGUCAGCUCGUGUCGUGAGAUGUUGGGUUAAGUCCCGCAACGAGCGCAACCCUUGUCAUUAGUUGCCAUCAUUAAGUUGGGCACUCUAAUGAGACUGCCGGUGACAAGCCGGAGGAAGGUGGGGAUGACGUCAAGUCCUCAUGGCCCUUAUGACCAGGGCUUCACACGUCAUACAAUGGUCGGUACAGAGGGUAGCCAAGCCGCGAGGUGGAGCCAAUCUCAUAAAACCGAUCGUAGUCCGGAUUGCACUCUGCAACUCGAGUGCAUGAAGUCGGAAUCGCUAGUAAUCGCAGGUCAGCAUACUGCGGUGAAUACGUUCCCGGGUCUUGUACACACCGCCCGUCACACCAUGGGAGUGGGGGAUACCAGAAGUAGGUAGGGUAACCGCAAGGAGCCCGCUUACCACGGUAUGCUUCAUGACUGGGGUGAAGUCGUAACAAGGUAGCCGUAGGGGAACCUGCGGCUGGAUCACCUCCUUUCUAGAGAAAAGAAGAGGUUGUUGGGUACUCACACUUAUCGGUAAGCUGUGUAAAAGAUGCAUGAGAAGUUUUAAGAAUGCUUAUGCGCAAGCUAUAAGCUGUCUGUUGUUAAGACAAUAGAGACCUUGGGUUUGUAGCUCAGCUGGUUAGAGCACACGCUUGAUAAGCGUGGGGUCGGAGGUUCAAGUCCUCCCAGACCCACCAGAGAUUCUUCGGGCAGGUUGUAGAAGCUGUCCGGACGGAUAAGGGGGCAUAGCUCAGUUGGUAGAGCACCUGCUUUGCAAGCAGGGGGUCAUCGGUUCGAUCCCGUUUGCCUCCACCAAAAGCCGCUAGGUUAAAACAUAUUGCUACUUUUUAAAUUAAAGCCAGCUUUAAAAGCUGUUUUUAAUUUGCAAAGUGACUAAGCAACAGUCGUUGUUUAGUAGGCAUGCAUCGCUCUUUAACAAAUUGGAAAGCCGAAAUCAACAAACAAAGACAAUGUCGAUUUACCGAAAGGUAAGUUGUACAGUAUUUGGGUGAUGAUUGUAUCGAGUAACUUAUGAAAGACAAAAGGCAUAAGUUACACACAACAAAAGCAGUAAGCUUUAUCAAAGUAUGAACAUCUAAUCUGAUUACUCGUCAACGGUAAUUUAGAUGAAGUCAAAGAGGUUCUUGAAAUGAUAGAGUCAAGUGAAUAAGUGCAUCAGGUGGAUGCCUUGGCGAUGAUAGGCGAAGAAGGACGUGUAAGCCUGCGAAAAGCAUCGGGGAGCUGGCAAUAAAGCUAUGAUCCGGUGAUGUCCGAAUGGGGAAACCCACUGCAUUCUGUGCAGUAUCCGCUCCUGAAUACAUAGGGAGUGAGAAGCGAACCCGGAGAACUGAACCAUCUAAGUACCCGGAGGAAAAGAAAUCAACCGAGAUUCCGCAAGUAGUGGCGAGCGAACGCGGAGGAGCCUGUAUACGAUAGCCAUUGAGAUAGAAGAACAAGCUGGGAAGCUUGGCCAUAGUGGGUGACAGCCCCGUAUUCGAAAUUUCAUUGGUGGUACUAAAUAUACGACAAGUAGGGCGGGACACGUGAAAUCCUGUCUGAAUAUGGGGGGACCAUCCUCCAAGGCUAAAUACUCAUCAUCGACCGAUAGUGAACCAG
RNAcentral lists this ribosomal RNA (2633 nucleotides) under Neisseria zalophi. RNAcentral's name for it is "bacterial LSU rRNA". The stretch from base 1 to 1510 matches the Rfam family "Bacterial small subunit ribosomal RNA". The record is from RNAcentral. Lineage: Bacteria; Pseudomonadati; Pseudomonadota; Betaproteobacteria; Neisseriales; Neisseriaceae.